RNAcentral lists this ribosomal RNA (995 nucleotides) under uncultured bacterium. Its description in RNAcentral is "bacterial SSU rRNA". It matches the Rfam family "Bacterial small subunit ribosomal RNA", at positions 355 to 1375 of the family's 1533-position model. The record is from RNAcentral.
UGGGGAAUAUUGCACAAUGGGGGAAACCCUGAUGCAGCGACGCCGCGUGGAGGAAGAAGGUCUUCGGAUUGUAAACUCCUGUUGUUGAGGAAGAUAAUGACGGUACUCAACAAGGAAGUGACGGCUAACUACGUGCCAGCAGCCGCGGUAAAACGUAGGUCACAAGCGUUGUCCGGAAUUACUGGGUGUAAAGGGAGCGCAGGCGGGAAGACAAGUUGGAAGUGAAAUCCAUGGGCUCAACCCAUGAACUGCUUUCAAAACUGUUUUUCUUGAGUAGUGCAGAGGUAGGCGGAAUUCCCGGUGUAGCGGUGGAAUGCGUAGAUAUCGGGAGGAACACCAGUGGCGAAGGCGGCCUACUGGGCACCAACUGACGCUGAGGCUCGAAAGUGUGGGUAGCAAACAGGAUUAGAUACCCUGGUAGUCCACACCGUAAACGAUGAUUACUAGGUGUUGGAGGAUUGACCCCUUCAGUGCCGCAGUUAACACAAUAAGUAAUCCACCUGGGGAGUACGACCGCAAGGUUGAAACUCAAAGGAAUUGACGGGGGCCCGCACAAGCAGUGGAGUAUGUGGUUUAAUUCGACGCAACGCGAAGAACCUUACCAAGUCUUGACAUCCUGCGACGGACAUAGAAAUAUGUCUUUCCUUCGGGACGCAGAGACAGGUGGUGCAUGGUUGUCGUCAGCUCGUGUCGUGAGAUGUUGGGUUAAGUCCCGCAACGAGCGCAACCCUUAUGGUCAGUUACUACGCAAGAGGACUCUGGCCAGACUGCCGUUGACAAAACGGAGGAAGGUGGGGAUGACGUCAAAUCAUCAUGCCCUUUAUGACUUGGGCUACACACGUACUACAAUGGCGUUAAACAAAGAGAAGCAAGACCGCGAGGUGGAGCAAAACUCAGAAACAACGUCCCAGUUCGGACUGCAGGCUGCAACUCGCCUGCACGAAGUCGGAAUUGCUAGUAAUCGUGGAUCAGCAUGCCACGGUGAAUACGUUCCC